Molecule: ribosomal RNA, 397 nt
Filed under: uncultured bacterium
Lineage: Bacteria
Description: bacterial SSU rRNA
Rfam family: Bacterial small subunit ribosomal RNA
Source: RNAcentral
UAUUGCACAAUGGGGGAAACCCUGAUGCAGCGACGCCGCGUGAGCGAAGAAGUAUUUCGGUAUGUAAAGCACUAUCAGCAGGGAAGAAAAUGACGGUACCUGACUAAGAAGCCCCGGCUAACUACGUGCCAGCAGCCGCGGUAAUACGUAGGGAGCAAGCGUUAUCCGGAUUUACUGGGUGUAAAGGGAGUGUAGACGGCAUAGCAAGUCUGAAGUGAAAGCCCAAGGCUCAACCAUGGGACUGCUUUGGAAACUGUUAAGCUAGAGCGCUGGAGAGGUAGGCGGAAUUCCUAGUGUAGCGGUGAAAUGCGUAGAUAUUAGGAAGAACACCAGUGGCGAAGGCGGCUUACUGGACUGUAACUGACGUUGAGGCUCGAAAGCGUGGGGAGCAAACAGG